This 283-nucleotide long non-coding RNA is filed under the name Mytilus galloprovincialis (Mediterranean mussel). The record is from RNAcentral. Lineage: Eukaryota; Metazoa; Mollusca; Bivalvia; Mytilida; Mytilidae.
UCUGCUUGAUUUAAACGCAGCCUUUGUCUUGUACCUAUAACCAUACAUUUCGUCUUAUCCGAAUUUAUGAACAUGCUAUUUUCAUGACACCAUUUUUCAACACAUUGGAGAUCAUCUUGUACUUUUAAUUGCAUAUCACCAAUAGUCUUUCCUGAUGUAUGCAUAGUUGUGUCAUCAGCAUACAAGUCUGUAUGGCAGUUUUUGAUGUGUAAUGGAAGGUCAUUUAUGAACAAAACAAACAAAAUGGGACCAAGUAUUGAGCCCUGUGGAACACCAAAAUUUA